Molecule: ribosomal RNA, 270 nt
Filed under: uncultured archaeon
Lineage: Archaea
Description: partial 16S ribosomal RNA
Rfam family: Archaeal small subunit ribosomal RNA
Source: RNAcentral
CAGCUCUCCGAGUGGUGUGGAUGUUUAUUGGGCCUAAAGCAUCCGUAGCUGGCCAAGUUAGUCCCCUGUUAAAUCCACCGAAUUAAUCGUUGGAGUGCGGGGGAUACUGCUCGGCUAGGGGACGAGAGAGGCCGACGGUAUUUUCGGGGUAGGGGUGAAAUCCUAUAAUCCCGGGAGGACCACCAGUGGCGAAGGCUGUCGGCUAGAACGCGCCCGACGGUGAGGGAUGAAAGCUGGGGGAGCGAACCGGAUUAGAUACCCGAGUAGUCC